UUGAACGCUGGCGGCAUGCCUUACACAUGCAAGUCGAACGCGAAAGCGGGGCAACCCGCAAGUAGAGUGGCGAACGGGUGAGUAAUACAUCGGAACGUAUCCAGUAGCGGGGGAUAACCUCUCGAAAGAGAGGCUAAUACCGCAUACGACCUAGGGGUGAAAGAGGGGGAUCGCAAGACCUCUCACUAUUGGAGCGGCCGAUGUCGGAUUAGCUAGUUGGUGGGGUAACGGCCCACCAAGGCGACGAUCCGUAGCUGGUCUGAGAGGACGACCAGCCACACUGGAACUGAGACACGGUCCAGACUCCUACGGGAGGCAGCAGUGGGGAAUUUUGGACAAUGGGCGCAAGCCUGAUCCAGCCAUGCCGCGUGAGUGAAGAAGGCCUUCGGGUUGUAAAGCUCUUUCGGCUGGGACGAAAAGGUCCGUGUUAACACCACGGAUCCAUGACGGUACCAGCAGAAGAAGCACCGGCUAACUACGU
RNAcentral lists this ribosomal RNA (481 nucleotides) under uncultured bacterium. RNAcentral's name for it is "bacterial SSU rRNA". It matches the Rfam family "Bacterial small subunit ribosomal RNA", at positions 29 to 506 of the family's 1533-position model. The record is from RNAcentral.